CCUACGGGCGGCAGCAGUGGGGAAUAUUGCACAAUGGGGGAAACCCUGAUGCAGCGACGCCGCGUGAGUGAAGAAGUAUUUCGGUAUGUAAAGCUCUAUCAGCCGGGAAGAAAUAGCGACCUUUGGGUCGCCAGACGGUACCUGCUUAAGAAGCCCCGGCUAACUACGUGCCAGCAGCCGCGGUAAUACGUAGGGGGCAAGCGUUAUCCGGAUUUACUGGGGGUAAAGGGAGCGUAGACGGCAGCGCAAGUCUGAAGGGAAAUGCCGGGGCUUAAACCCGGAACUGCUUUUGAAACUGUGGAGCUAGAGUGCAGGAGAGGUAAGUGGAAUUCCUAGUGUAGCGGUGAAAUGUGUAGAUAUUAGGAGGAACACCAGUGGCGAAGGCGGCUUACUGGACUGUAACUGACGUUGAGGCUCGAAAGCGUGGGGAGCAAACAGGAUUAGAUACCCUUGUAGUC
Molecule: ribosomal RNA, 458 nt
Filed under: uncultured bacterium
Lineage: Bacteria
Description: partial 16S ribosomal RNA
Rfam family: Bacterial small subunit ribosomal RNA
Source: RNAcentral